CCGGCUGCCCUCUCCGCGCCGGCGUCCCGAGCCGCGCGGCCCCCUGUCCCUCGGGACUCCAGGAGCAGGGCGGCCGCAUGGUGCCGACGGCGCAGCCCGGACCCUCAAGCGUCCCGGCCCGGGGCCGCCCCGAAGGGACAGGGUCUCCCGCGCCCGGCGGCCGGCGGCGUUUGGCCCAGCGUGGGAGCCGUAGCGCCGUCCCUCUGCGGCCACCGUAGGACUUUCCUCACACACACACCCCCCCACCCACCCUCCGCCCGCGCCGAAACGGACAGCGCCUCCCUUCCCCCUUUUCGGCGUAGACCCGGAGCGCCCGGAACUCGGCGCUUGCCCUCCGAGCGUAAGUGCGUGCGUGCGUGCGUACGCGCCCGGCGCGCGGCCCGUGACGUACCCCCGGACAACACCGCCCCAGAAGCUCAAAGAUCGGUUGAUGGAUCGGCCUCUCCCACUGGCUCAGUUUCCUUACCACAGGCCGCACGACAGGCUGGAAGCCACCAUAUCUGCAGCCUGACCACCGCCAGUUCCAGAGCCACAAGGACGAAGAUGAGGCUGUGUCCUCGGGGCCAGCUCAGUGGCAGGGCAGGGGGAGACCCCAGGCGUGUGCUGCGAUUUUUUGCAGGCUGCCCCUGGCAGGGGUGGGGGGGGCCGUCCAGCGGGGGCUCCCUCAUGUUGCCAUCCUCGCAGGCACCCCUCUCUCCCUGCUCCCCCGCCCCCACGUCAGGAGGACAUCUGUGAUGUGGGCGGUGGCUGGGCGCCACCUGCUGGAACAGUGCACGAGGUGUCCCAGAGCCAAGCCUGAGACGAGUGAAGGGUCCAAGAAGGGCCUGAGUCCAUCGGUGCUUUGAGCCGUAAACCAGGGCACCACGGGUCCCAGUUGUCUGUGGAGCUGAGUAGCCUCUGCUGCAGAGGCCCAUUAGCCCGCAAACCCUCUACUCUCUGCCUUUGCAAAAACCUAGUUCGCCCCUGCUUUAAACAAGCAUUUAUCACACGGCUCACAGAGAAUGGUAAACGGGCAGACCGUCAGGUUGGGACGGUCUUAGCCACCCCCACCCUCCACUGUCCCUGUGCUUGCUGGGGAGCAAGGAUCCGGUCACUUCAGGGGCCAGACAUGGAGUGACUCUUUGCCACCCAGGACAGUAGAGGCUGAGUGACUCCUGACAUCAGGCUGCCCUGCAGGUUUGGGUGUGGGGAGGGACUGACCUCUCUGCAGUCAUGUUCCAACUGUCCAGUCCUCAGGCAGGGCUGGUGUGACCUCCCACCCUGUGACGGUGGGUUUAAUCCUCACGAGGGUCUCAACAGCGUAGUCAGGCGUGUUAGCCUUCAGCGACUGCUUAGUCCUUGUGAGCGGUCCUACAGUCACCUCGCCAUCAAGAGACGGACUUACAUGUGACCCAGCAAUGCCACUCCUGGGCAUAUGGGCAGAGAAAACUCUUAAUUCAAAAAGAUACCUGCAUGCCAGUGUUCAUAGCAGCCCUACUCACAGUAGCUGAGACAUGGAAACAACUAAACGCCCAUCGACAGAGGAAUGGAUACAGAAAACGUGGUGUAUAUAUACUCGGCCACAAAAAAGAACGACAUGCCAUUUGCAGCAACGUGGAUGGACCUAGAGAUGAUCACACUGAAGGUCAGACAGAGAAAGACAAGUACCAGAAGAUGUGGACGCUGAAAUACGGCACAAGCGAACCUGUCUGUGAAACAGGAGCGGACUCAGCCGCACAGGGAACAGGCUGGCGGUUGCCAAGGGGGAGGGUGUUGGGAGACGGCCGGAGCGGGGCUUGGGGCCAGCAGAUGGACGCUCCAAUAGAGAGUGGCUAGACAGCAAGGUCCUCCUGUACAGGACGGAGAACUGUAGUCAGUAUCCGAUGAUGAAUCAUCAUGGAAGAGAGUAUUUUAAAAAAGAAUAUUAAAAGAAAAGAAUGUGUGAAAAUGAUUUUGUGCUCAAGGGAGUAAAACUAAAAACCAC
This is a long non-coding RNA of Ovis aries (sheep), 1963 nucleotides long. NCBI's taxonomy places the organism in Eukaryota, Metazoa, Chordata, Mammalia, Artiodactyla, Bovidae. The record is from Ensembl.